RNAcentral lists this ribosomal RNA (448 nucleotides) under uncultured bacterium. Its description in RNAcentral is "bacterial SSU rRNA". It matches the Rfam family "Bacterial small subunit ribosomal RNA", at positions 355 to 825 of the family's 1533-position model. The record is from RNAcentral.
UGGGGAAUCUUGGACAAUGGGCGCAAGCCUGAUCCAGCCAUGCCGCGUGGAUGAUGAAGGCCUUAGGGUUGUAAAAUCCUUUUCGCCGAGGACGAUAAUGACGGUACUCGGAGAAGAAGCUCCGGCUAACUUCGUGCCAGCAGCCGCGGUAAUACGAAGGGGGCUAGCGUUGUUCGGAUUUACUGGGCGUAAAGCGCAUGUAGGCGGGCCGUUAAGUUAGGGGUGAAAUCCCGAGGCUCAACCUCGGAACUGCCUCUAAAACUGGCGGCCUGGACCUAAGUAGAGGCAAGUGGAAUUGCGAGUGUAGAGGUGAAAUUCGUAGAUAUUCGCAGGAACACCAGUGGCGAAGGCGACUUGCUGGACUUAUGGUGACGCUGAGAUGCGAAAGCGUGGGGAGCAAACAGGAUUAGAUACCCAAGUAGUCCCUGAGCGGGCUGGCAAGGCGCAU